RNAcentral lists this unclassified non-coding RNA (398 nucleotides) under uncultured fungus. RNAcentral's name for it is "partial contains small subunit ribosomal RNA, internal transcribed spacer 1, and 5.8S ribosomal RNA". The stretch from base 1 to 73 matches the Rfam family "Eukaryotic small subunit ribosomal RNA", at positions 1759 to 1831 of the family's 1831-position model. Lineage: Eukaryota; Fungi. The record is from RNAcentral.
GCAAACUUGGUCAUUUAGAGGAAGUAAAAGUCGUAACAAGGUUUCCGUAGGUGAACCUGCGGAAGGAUCAUUAUUGAAUACACUUGGUUAAAGUUGUUGCUGGCUCUCACUAGAGCAUAUAUGUGCACACUUGCCAUUUUGUUUAAUAUCACCUGUGCACCUUUUGUAGGACAGAUAAGUAAAUGAUUAUCAAGUUUGUUUUAACUUGGUUUGUGGGUUUGCUGUUACGAUAAGACAGCUUACCCUGUUACAUCUGUUCUAUGUAUUUUCUACAUAUACCCUGUAUAAAAGUGUAUUAGAAUAUUGGAUUGGGGGUGUUGUAAUUAUUCAUUCCCCUUAAAUAUUAUACAACUUUCAACAACGGAUCUCUUGGCUCUCGCAUCGAUGAAGAACGCAGC